Vicugna pacos (alpaca) is the source of this 1548-nucleotide long non-coding RNA. RefSeq lists it as uncharacterized. Lineage: Eukaryota; Metazoa; Chordata; Mammalia; Artiodactyla; Camelidae. The record is from RefSeq and is a predicted model, not a curated record.
GGUGGGGAAGCAGCAGCUGGACAUCCAAAUGCGCCAGGGAUCCUCCCGGAGUCCCGACUCUCCGGCGGGCCGGGUUUCCCCUCCUCCGCUCGGUCGGAGCCAGACGAAUCUACAUUCCCAGAUUCCCGGCGGGGCCCGGUACCGAGAUCGCCACGUCCACCCGGGAAGACGCGGUCCCUGCAGCUCUUGCGUGCGCAAGCCGAGGUGUGUUUUAAAAUUGCCACAGUGUUUGGGGAGAGCAACAGACUGGAGUUGAAAGGCACAAGUAAUCAUGAGCCCUCCUGAGGGCUGGAGCUACGUCAUCCCAGGGCUGAGCAGAGCGUUCUGCAUGAUGAUCUAAGCUCCCGAGAAACGCAGGGUCAACAUCAGCGCCGUCUGGCAGCCAGCAGACACCGCCUGCCAAGUCCUCUGCAGGGCCUGGGGGUCAGAGAAAGAAGAGCACGCACGCUGGCAAAGAGUUGGGAAAACAGACCUUGAAGGGGUGGGUGACAGUGUGGUGAUGCCCGACGCCGGGACUGCCUCUCCGCCCAGGGAGACCUGCACAGAGGACGCCGUCCGCGCCAGUGGUGAAACCGGCUCUGUUCCUGCCGACCGUGACCUCCUCUGAAGCACAUCCUUGGGGCCACCAUUCGAGGCUCAGAAGAGCCAGGGCCUGAUUCCAUGAUUUUACCAAGACUUGCUUUCUUCACAUCCUCCCAACUGGACUCUCUCCAGAAAAGCAGUCCUUUGAUCUCAUCCUCCAGCUUGGAAACGUCAACUUGGACACCCUCCGGCUGGCCUGUGCCAUUGUUCAGGGCCUUUUGAGGUCGGGACGCACAGACUUUGGAUUCGCCGCUGCUCGUCUCCGCCUAUCCCCACACCAGGCACCAGGGCCUCCCGAGGCACAGCUCCUCUCCCUCCUGCCUUUCUGGCCGCCGCACAGCUGGCACCCUCGCCGCCAUUUUGGCGGGGGCCCAAGGCCUAGAAAAUGAAGGAACCUAGGCAACCGCUGGCGACAGAUUGCCGCUAGGUUCGGGCUUUGAUGAUGCCGAGCUGGCCUCUUCAGAGGAAUGUAGACCUGUCUGCACCCGAAAACCAAAACGAGUCCAAGGGGCGUGGCCAGGCGGCUGGCGGAGAGGCCCUACUUCACUUGGGCGGACACCGGCGUCUGGAAGGAGGCCUGGCACACUGGGCCCGGGAGAUGGCUCCAGGCCCAGGGCCAGCCACGCUGCUUUCCCACGUGUGCAGGCGUUGGCUUCCCCAGAGCUAGACUCCACGGAGGGAAGAAGGCUCCCCGGGGAGAGGAAGGCUGGGGGCUUUCCCCUCGUGUGUGCGCCAUCCCGGGCCUGGGAACAGCUGCUCCAAAAGGCCCAAGUGGGGGCUUUUGCAGGGAUUCCAGGGGUUAGUCCUGACAUAUGCAGAAUCAUUAGAAUCCAUCCGUGUGACCCCUGAUUUAAAGCUCUCCCAAGACACUUUUCACCCACCACUGGCCUGCCCAGUACUAGCCAUGAGGAGCCUGUAGCUACUGAGUACUCAAAGUAUACUCCCAAUCCCCAUCAGAUUUCAAAG